RNAcentral lists this non-coding RNA (27 nucleotides) under Homo sapiens (human). The record is from RNAcentral. Lineage: Eukaryota; Metazoa; Chordata; Mammalia; Primates; Hominidae.
UGUGUGUCUAUUCACUGGUAUUGGGGA